UAGCAUCUCAAAAGAGAUUUUGUACCCAUCAACAAAAAGAUGUCCAAGACCGGCCUAGGAUGGAGGAGCUGCACUCUCCAGUAGAAAGUUGAACUCCAAAAAGGCGGGUUUAACAUCUCCAAAGACAUCUUUUCUGCAGCAAGUUGAUGUCCAAGACCAGCAACUUAUGAUAGAGGAGCUUCAAAACACUCUGCAGUAAAAGUCAGGCUUCAUCUCCUAAGAGAUCUACCCACCAAUGAAUAGAUGCCCAAGACCAACCUAGGAUAGAGGAGCUGGAGUGACUCUCCGGUAACUCCCAAAAGGCGGGCUUAGCAUCUCCAAAGAUAUAUUUAUGUCGGCAAGUUGAUGUCAAAGACCAGCAGCCUAUGACAGAGGAGCUACAAAACACUCUCCAGUAAAAGCUCUCCAUGUGGGAUGAUAGACUUGCUAAACUUCCAUCUAGAACAUUCGUGGACAUGAGUGCUUCAGAAGAGCUCCCCCUGGUGCUGAAUCAAGUUGGGCUGAAUGGAGGUGCCUCAUCAACAGACUUAGAACAUCAACUGGCCGGUGCAAGGUGUCUCUCAAGAAGUGGGGAUAUCUGGACUCUGAAGACGUGACCUGCAUAUGUGGGACAGAGCCACAAACUAUGGAUCACCUCCUGAGAUGCCCCCCCCUUACUGGAGCAAGAAUGCAGAACUGAGGACCUUGCAGAGAACAAUGAUAUUGCUUGGAGCUGUGUUCAGUGCUGGCUGAAACACAACAUCUAGUGUGUGGACACGAUAAGAAGAAGAAGCUCUCAAUUGCUCACUACCUAUCUGGCUCGGCAUACCCCAAAGACAUCUACCUGUUAAAGAAGAUGCCCAAGACCAGCAUAUAGAGUUACACUCUCCAGCAAAAGAGACGGAGAUAAAGGGAAUAGUUUCCUGAAAAGAAGUGCAGAAUGGAAUCACCACUACUGAUGUCAUCAAGAAUACAGGGUAUAAAGGAGAGCAACACAUUAAAACAUCGCUACUGUCAAGACAACUUAGCUGCAAGCAAUUAUGGAUGUAACAAACAGUUUGUUGUCUUAAACAGUAAGGUAUUGUAGUGUUUUUAUGAACUGAAUAAGCUCCAAUGUAUUCAGAACACUGCUGCAUGCCUUGUGGAACGGUCUCCAAGAAAUGAGCACAUCAUCCCUAUUCUUCACUGUCUCCACUGGCUGCCAAUCAAGGACUGCAUUGUGUUCAAGCCAAUGUUGCUCAAGUACAAGUCUCAUCAUGGUCUUGCUCCUGCAUGUAACUCUGAACUUAUAAACUCAUAUACACCUCCUCGUUGUCUUUCACUCAUCAUCUUAUUGCUACUGCAAGGUCCCCACAGAGUCUCUACUUCGCAUUAUGGGGGUUGAUAAUGCUCCCAUCUUCAGGAACAGUCUUCCUCUUAUUGUUCGCCAAGCUACUUCGGUCACUUCCUUCAAGAGUCGUCUGAAAACUCAUCUGUUUUCGAAAUAAUGAUGCACUUUUUGUGCUUUUAAUUCUCGUUUUUAACUGAUAAAUUCUACGUUGUUUUUAUGGCCAGAUGCUGAGGAUCUUGGCUAAGGGUGUAAGUGCUAGUAACCUCUCCCCUUUUCAAAAUAGGUUUUUGAGUUAAUAUUGCACUUCUUGUGCUUUUAAUUAUUGUUUUAGUGGAUCAUUUCUGUGUUGUUUUUCAUGGCCAGAUGCUGAGGAUCUUG
This is a long non-coding RNA of Asterias rubens (European starfish), 1687 nucleotides long. RefSeq lists it as uncharacterized. The record is from RefSeq and is a predicted model, not a curated record. The transcript has 7 exons. Lineage: Eukaryota; Metazoa; Echinodermata; Asteroidea; Forcipulatida; Asteriidae.